This 478-nucleotide ribosomal RNA is filed under the name uncultured bacterium. Its description in RNAcentral is "partial 16S ribosomal RNA". It matches the Rfam family "Bacterial small subunit ribosomal RNA", at positions 28 to 523 of the family's 1533-position model. The record is from RNAcentral.
GACGAACGCUGGCGGCGUGCUUAACACAUGCGAGUCGAACGGUAAGGCCCUUCGGGGUACACGAGUGGCGAACGGGUGAGUAACACGUGGGUGAUCUGCCCUGCACUUCGGGAUAAGCCUGGGAAACUGGGUCUAAUACCGGAUAGGACCACUGCCUGCAUGGGUGGUGGUGGAAAGCUUUUGCGGUGUGGGAUGGGCCCGCGGCCUAUCAGCUUGUUGGUGGGGUGAUGGCCUACCAAGGCGACGACGGGUAGCCGGCCUGAGAGGGUGACCGGCCACACUGGGACUGGGAUACGGCCCAGACUCCUACGGGAGGCAGCAGUGGGGAAUAUUGCACAAUGGGCGCAAGCCGGAUGCAGCGACGCCGCGUGAGGGAUGACGGCCUUCGGGUUGUAAACCUCUUUCAGCACCGACGAAGCGCAAGUGACGGUAGGUGCAGAAGAAGGACCGGCCAACUACGUGCCAGCCGCCGCCGUAA